GAUGAACGCUGGCGGCGUGCUUAACACAUGCAAGUCGAACGAAGCGCUUUAUUCAGAUUCUUUCGGGAUGAUGGAUUUAGUGACUUAGUGGCGGACGGGUGAGUAACGCGUGGGUAACCUGCCUUACACAGGGGGAUAACAGUUAGAAAUGACUGCUAAUACCGCAUAAAACAGCAGCACCGCAUGGUGCAACUGUCAAAGAUUUAUCGGUGUAAGAUGGACCCGCGUCUGAUUAGCCAGUUGGUGGGGUAACGGCCUACCAAAGCGACGAUCAGUAGCCGACCUGAGAGGGUGACCGGCCACAUUGGGACUGAGACACGGCCCAAACUCCUACGGGAGGCAGCAGUGGGGAAUAUUGGACAAUGGGCGAAAGCCUGAUCCAGCGACGCCGCGUGAGCGAUGAAGUAUUUCGGUAUGUAAAGCUCUAUCAGCAGG
This 435-nucleotide ribosomal RNA is filed under the name uncultured bacterium. Its description in RNAcentral is "bacterial SSU rRNA". It matches the Rfam family "Bacterial small subunit ribosomal RNA", at positions 28 to 443 of the family's 1533-position model. The record is from RNAcentral.